CUCUAAUCUUUCCUACGAUGACGUCGGUGGGACCUUCCGGCGGCGAUGGCGGUGAAUGGAAGACGAAAGAGAAAGGGGAACAAGUCAAGAUUCUAUUCUGUCAUAAGAGGAAUAAAGAUAUGGGAAUUGACCUUGAAGCUGGCGUCUUUUAUCGCAGUUUGAGUGUUAGACUCAAUUGAAGGAAAAUGUAAGCACUGGAAUGUUAACAAGGAAAUGUUGAUCAGAACCAAGAUCUGCUAAACUAGAUGUAGAACAACAUGAAUUGAUCAUAUCAGCGCAUUCGUACCUUACUGAUGCUUUUGAUGGUGCCGACGGAUGAGAUGAAACAAAAUGAUGGUAUAGGUCAUGGAAGAAAUGUGAGCGUCUGGGGAAGUGCACAAUUAAAGUGGUAUAUAAGUGUUACAAAUGGAGAUUUUUGCAACAAACUCACAAGGCGUGGCAAGCUUUGAGGUUGGCUUCAGGCUCUUCUGUGACACUUGCUCAGUUGCUUGUAGCGAUUGGCAGUAGACGACAAAUCAACGAAAAGAAACAAAAAAGGAAGAAGAAACGGAUAUAGAUUGGCCCAGGACACGGGUAUGUUAUUUUAACAAGUGAUUUGGUCUUUGUUUCGCCACAUAUUUUUUCAUUUAUAUGUUCUAUGAUUUUAUCGGUGGAGCUUGUUAGAAAGUACAUGGAAAUAAUUUUGUGCUGAUUUGUUGGCUUAACUGGAUUUUUCUUCUCUUAUGAAGUAACUAUUGAGUUGGCA
This is a long non-coding RNA of Tripterygium wilfordii, 745 nucleotides long. RefSeq lists it as uncharacterized. The record is from RefSeq and is a predicted model, not a curated record. The transcript has 2 exons. NCBI's taxonomy places the organism in Eukaryota, Viridiplantae, Streptophyta, Magnoliopsida, Celastrales, Celastraceae.